This 434-nucleotide ribosomal RNA is filed under the name uncultured Lachnospiraceae bacterium. RNAcentral describes it as "bacterial SSU rRNA". It matches the Rfam family "Bacterial small subunit ribosomal RNA", at positions 341 to 792 of the family's 1533-position model. The record is from RNAcentral. Lineage: Bacteria; Bacillati; Bacillota; Clostridia; Lachnospirales; Lachnospiraceae.
ACGGAAGGCAGCAGUGGGGAAUAUUGCACAAUGGGGGAAACCCUGAUGCAGCAACGCCGCGUGAGCGAAGAAGUAUUUCGGUAUGUAAAGCUCUAUCAGCAGGGAAGAAAAUGACGGUACCUGACUAAGAAGCACCGGCUAAAUACGUGCCAGCAGCCGCGGUAAUACGUAUGGUGCAAGCGUUAUCCGGAUUUACUGGGUGUAAAGGGAGCGCAGACGGAACGGCAAGUCUGAUGUGAAAGCUCAGGGCUCAACCCUGGAACUGCAUUGGAAACUGUCGAUCUGGAGUAUCGGAGGGGUAAGCGGAAUUCCUAGUGUAGCGGUGAAAUGCGUAGAUAUUAGGAGGAACACCAGUGGCGAAGGCGGCUUACUGGACGAUAACUGACGUUGAGGCUCGAAAGCGUGGGGAGCAAACAGGAUUAGAUACCCUGGUA